GGGGCACCCCGGCGGGACGGGGGCUUCGUGGGGGCGGGGCGAGGAGUUCCCGCCCUAUCCCCGCCUCUCCUGGGCGGGUGGAGCGGUGACGUUACCCAGCGCCAUCUUGGUCCGGUUGGGACGUUCGUCUCUCAGGCGCGAGUUAUCUGCCGCUCCGCCGUCGCUCCGUGUUCCCUCCCCCGCUGUAAAAAUCGGGAUUUAACAGCCGCUUGAGGGCACGGGCUGGGCGCCUCGCACCCACCUGGCGUCUGAAUCCAGUCAUUGCCCAAGUGGAGAAAGACCAUUUCCGUGGCUGGGGACCUGCUAACGGGCCUUGUCCUGGGCUCUUUGCAGCCAGAGCACCCAGCCCUGAGACCGUUUCGGGAGCACCUUUCCCCCUCCGUCCCUCCAGCCAGCAGGGCAUCGCCGGCUCUCUGCUGACCUGUGUGAGUGUUCACCCCAAUGUCCUCCCGGGCAGCGGCACCUGUGGCUGGAGUUGGCUCAAAAGAUGCUCAGACUCUCUAAAUGUCACCGUCAAGAGGCAGAGAUGAGGCCGGGGGCCGUGGGGCUGAGGGGGACACCUCGUGUUUUGGCCACGCUGGGGACCAACAGACUGUGACCCAGGGACAGAGGGACUUGCUGGAGCCGGAUCACCUCCAGCCGGGCUGUGUGGGUAAUGCGAGCAGGCUUGGCCACGAGCGGCCAGCAAACUGAGGCUGGAAGACCCGGAGACACAAACAGUGGAGCAGCUUUACUCGCAGAUGUCGCCGUCUAAGCAGAUAUCCGGCGCUUGUCCUUGUCAACGCGGCGAGGGCUUAUCUAAUGGAAAGACCUUUAAUCAGGUGUGUUUGGUAACGGAGCGCUGCACGAGGGGGACAUGCAGAUCAUCACCCCGAGGCUCGGUUUGCCUGCACGCACAUUUAAAACUGCUGUAAACGUGGUCUCUCUGGGACCCCCUUGCUAGAUGUGUGUUAAAGCACUCGGAAAAUUCAACAGCAAAUCGACAAUGACGUUCCCGAGCUCACAGAGAUGCACGAAAGGGAUUUCAUGUGAUUGAAGCGAGGAGCACAGCUCUGCUCCUGUUUAGCAAAAAACAGCUUUUUUUGCUGCCUGGCAAUGAAGUGGACUCUGAGAAGGGUGUUUCCUACGAGGGUCCUCCCUGUCGUGCAAACAUAGACCGACUGGCCCUGGGUUCUGGCUGAAGACAUCCCUGCCGCAUCCUGCCUCUUCUAAAACUAGCCCAUGGAUGCGCUUUUUCACCAAAUCCUACCUUUCUGCCCUCAAAAGCAAACCUGCAUCGGCUUCGGUGGGGCAGAGGUCCAGGUCUGCUGUUUAGGUUGGCAGGAGCGAUGUGCUGGGGGCUGGUGGGGGAAGGAAACGCUCCCGUCCUCCAAAAAUGUUUUAAAGUGCUUUACUGAUUCUGCAGCUGGCGGGUACAGACCCACUCUUUUUAAUUCUGAGUUCUGUUGCAUUACAAAUAAUAGUUAUAGAGCUUGUUUGCUGGUAAAUGGUGAUGUUGAGGUUUUUCCCCAGCCUGGCUGCUUUGGGGUCCGGCCCCUCCAAAAACGCCGGCAGGUCCCACUUGGUGUGGGCUGCGGGCUCUGUCCACACUCAGAAUCUGGGGAUUUCAGGUGGAAAAGAGAUUAAAAGUUGGGAGAACCAAAGGCCCAGCUCACUUUGUGUCUCUGGGAAUGGUCGGUAGAGGAUAUAUUGGGAAAUGUAUAGAAAGCAGACUGUUCCACUGGUGAUUUGACACCUUGAGCAUCCUGCGGUGCAGGGACGGGACCUUCUCCCUCCGGGGCUGCACUUGCACUGCUCUGCUGAGCAACCCCUCUCCUCCAUGAAUUAAGCCCGUUUUGAAACCCACAAUUUAUUAAUUUUGGGGAAUUAAUGAGCAACCUCCUGUGAUUGUACAAACUUCUAUCACCACCUUGUCAUCAUGUCCCCAGGUGAUGCCCCAUCUUUGACAUCUCUCUGUCCCCAGCUUUUCCCCGUCCCUUCGUCCCCCUGCCUCCAUCCUUUGACACGGAGCCGAACCGGGUCCCCGCAGCCCACGGAGAGACGAGGAGUCCGGCACGGACCCAGGAAAACCGCUUGCCCAGCAAACAGCAGCCCAGGCUGAGCAAGGCUUGACUUUAACCCUUCUCCAGGGUUUAAGUGCUUAAAUCCAUGGUGACAAGAGCUUCGUGGGAUUCACAGCCCAGCAAUCACCAUGAUUGUGGAGACUGUAAUUCUGUAAAUGUUCAAAGAAUUCUUCAGCUCAUCCCCCACGUACAGAGAUGAAAACACCUGAUUCCGGGUGGAUUUGCACCAAACUGUGAAUACUCUGCACACCGAGGACAAGUUGCUGGCAGUGAGUGCCAUCACACCACCCCGUCACCCCGCUCCAUCCGCCGUCUGCAAGGUGCAAAAUAUGCCUUUACGUGACACCGCUAUUUCUUAAACAUCUAAAAGAACAGGGUGGGGAGUGCAGAGCUCAAAUCUCGGCGCAGCAUCGAAGGGGUUAUAGUGAUAAGCCAGCAGCUCCGCGUGGAACAAAGCUGGCAUUUCAGGGGGGAGACAAUGGAUUGUGUUCUCUGUGUUCAUUUCAGCCGUCCAUUUGGCACCGAGGCUGAGGUCACCCACCCAGUCGCACACUGCAGCAUCUCUGUUCUGGCGAGCAAGGAGCAGCAAAACAAAGAGGAGCUGAGUCGGCAGGAACGGGACAGCGAUCGCGGAUGGAGAAGCGCUCCCUGCUCCCAGAGCCCGCCGUGGCGGUACAUGUCAGGACACUGCUUAAAACCCAGCGAAUAGGCACUUUCUCUGACACACAUCUGAGCGCUUUGCACGGCCACCGGUCACGCUCAAUUCCCGUUCCACGUCCCGAACGGUAAUUACUGGCGUGGCCUGGUUUUGUGGCUGAAUGAUACGAUUUGCAAUGCAGGGAUUCGAACCCCAGCCAAAAGACGGAGCGACUGCUCACCAUCUGUAAAUAUUUUCUCUAGCAACAGCUUCAUUUCCUUUGAAACAUUAAAAAGGUUGUAGUUCUGACAUGCACGCGCGUGCAGGCACGUGGCUUAAAAAAUACACAGCAGGCACACACACACGUCUUGGUUUAGCCUGAGUUUUGUGCCAUGCAAAGAAGAGGCUCAAUUUGUCACCCUGUCCUGUUUGCUGGGAAAUGUGCUUUAAUUAUGUUACUAACAACUAAGAAACCUGCGUUCUCUGUCCCGCGGCUUUGUCCCCAGGCGGGUGGCCCUGCCGCCUGCUCCGCCGUGUCAGCCGCAAGUGCACACGGUCAGGACGAGGUGCAAUCCUGCUGGCUGGGCAACUGCUUCAGUGUUUCUGCCUUGCUUUGUUCUGAAAUAAGUCAGGUGUGAGCCCGUGUGGGGCUCCUCCAGCCCCAUCCUUUUGGGAGCUCACCGGUGCUUGGUGCGGGCUGGGUCCUGACAUAGGGGACCCUCUGGAGAGGGGCCAGGGGAGCCAUGAAAAGUAUCUGAGGCUGGAACAGCUCUGCUACGGGACAGGCUGAGGGAGCUGGGCUGUUCAGCUGGAGAAGAGAAGCUCCGGGGAGACCUGAUUGUGGCCUUUCUGUGCUUAAAAGGGGAUGAUAAGAAAGAUGGGGACAGACUUUCCAGCAGGGCCUGUUGUGACAGGACAAAGGGUGAUGGUUUAAACUAAAGGAGGGAGAUUCAGGCUGGACAUGGGGAAGAAAUUGUUGGCCCUGAGGGUGGUGAGAGCCUGGCCCAGGUUGCCCAGAGAGGUGGUGGCUGAACCAUCCCUGGAGACAUCCCAGGCCAGGCUGGACGGGGCUCUGAGCAACCUGAGCUGGUGAAGAUGUCCCUGCCCAUGGCAGGGGGGCACUGGGGUAGCUGUGAAGGUCCCUUCAACACAAACCAUUCCGUAAUUCUAUGAUUCUAUGCCUCAAGACUUUUCGUGGUCCCUGGCCAAGCAACAGCACAGGCAUCCCUCGGAUGCAGGAGGGUUUGGGAUGCACCUUUCCAAGGCUGUGCUGGUAUCACAGCCACACAACCAUCACCCACAGCUGCACAGGAGGCCACAAAACUAUGGGGACUUUAGAAGUCAUAUCAGCUGGUACCUGCAAACCCUCACAGCUGGUUUCUUAAAAAAGCUAUUAAAGAUGCAGCAAGUUUUCUUCACGCUCCCUGCAUCUGACAUGGUUUCAGUCUUGUCUGGGUUCAGGCGAAGCGAGCCCGUCUGUCUUCAGUCCCCUGUUUCACUCAGGCAGUAAAUAAUUCAUCGUGAACUUCGGAUGUCCUUGUCUCUAGCAGAAGUGGAACAGUUUAGAGUUGGGUAGAAAGGGCAACUUUUUAUUUUAUAGGAAAGCAUGGCAAAUCUCAGAGCAGCCUGCACUCCAAACAGCCCCUUGGAGGUGGAGAUGGUCCCACCAGCUUGGUGCAAAUCAGAGCGGUGACACCGGUGACAGCGCUUGUGCUGCUCGUGACCCUGCACACACCCCGGGACCAGGUGGGACCUGCACACAGACACCCCAUUUUACACGAUCUGAGAUUAGAAAACGUGUUUUAUAACGCAAGGUCUGGAAAAGGUGUUUCCAGCGACCGUCCAGCUCCGGCUCUUGCAGAUCCUCCCCCUCCUCCUGCCUUGCUGGGAGACAAAUGUUAUUAAUCAGCCCUGUAAAUUGAAAUCCAUAUUUUUCUCAUGAGUUCUGAAACCCAUUUAAAGCCUCUAAACAGCUUCUAUCAGCUGAAAUAAAUGAAAUCAGUUUUAUUCCUCUUGCCUAA
Molecule: long non-coding RNA, 4721 nt
Organism: Columba livia (rock pigeon)
Lineage: Eukaryota; Metazoa; Chordata; Aves; Columbiformes; Columbidae
Exons: 4
Source: RefSeq, a predicted model, not a curated record